GGAGGAAAAGAAACCAACAGGGAUUGCCUCAGUAACGGCGAGUGAAGCGGCAAAAGCUCAAAUUUGAAAUCUGGCCCUUUCAGGGUCCGAGUUGUAAUUUGUAGAGGUUGUUUCGGCCACCGCCCCGGGUUAAAUUUCUUGGAACAGAAUGUCAGAGAGGGUGAGAGCCCCGUCUUGACCCGGUGGUAGGAUCCAUGUGAAACUCCUUCGACGAGUCGAGUUGUUUGGGAAUGCAGCUCAAAAUGGGUGGUAAAUUUCAUCUAAAGCUAAAUAUUGGCCAGAGACCGAUAGCGCACAAGUAGAGUGAUCGAAAGAUGAAAAGCACUUUGAAAAGAGAGUUAAACAGUAUGUGAAAUUGUUGAAAGGGAAGCGCUGGCAACCAGACUUGCGCGCGACGGUUCCCCCCGGCUUCUGCCUGGGUUACUCCGUCGCGUCCAGGCCAACAUCGGUUCUGGGGGUCGGUCAAAGGCCCCGGGAAUGUAUCUACCCUUCGGGGUCGACUUAUAGCCCGGGGUGUCAUGCGGCCACCCGGGACCGAGGAACGCGCUUCGGCUCGGAUGUUGGCGUAAUGGUUGUCAGCGGCCCGUCUUGAAACACGGACCAAGGAGUCUAACAUCUAUGCGAGUGUUAGGGUGUCAAACCCUGGCGCGGAAUGAAAGUGAACGGAGGUAAGAAGCCGCGAGGCCGCAUUAUCGACCGAUCCUGAAGUUUACGGAUGGAUUUGAGUAAGAGCAUAGCUGUUGGGACCCGAAAGAUGGUGAACUAUGCGUGAAUAGGGUGAAGCCAGAGGAAACUCUGGUGGAGGCUCGCAGCGGUUCUGACGUGCAAAUCGAUCGUCAAAUUUGCGUAUAGGGGCGAAAGACUAAUCGAACCAUC
RNAcentral lists this ribosomal RNA (876 nucleotides) under Vonarxia vagans. RNAcentral's name for it is "eukaryotic LSU rRNA". It matches the Rfam family "Eukaryotic large subunit ribosomal RNA", at positions 52 to 944 of the family's 3401-position model. Lineage: Eukaryota; Fungi; Ascomycota; Eurotiomycetes; Chaetothyriales; Chaetothyriaceae. The record is from RNAcentral.